UACAUACAUUGUUUUCUACAUUUCAGUGUCGGCCGUGAGAACUAUGGCAUGCGCGAGAAUUCCGAAAUGGUCGUUUCUGAUGUGUGUCUAAAAGGUGAAAAGAAACGCCAUCAUCACCACCAUCACAAGAGCAGCACACGCAAUGGCGAAUAUCGAGAUCAAUCAGCUGGCAGACGAGAACAUCACAGACACAGCGGCGGACAUUAUUGACCAACCAUGGUGAUAACCAUAAAUGUGGAGCAAUAAGCCAAUGCAAGCAUAUGUUAACAUACUUAUAUAUCUAGCUACAAAGAAGCGAAGCAGAAAACAACAAAAAAAAAAACUACAUCUUUUCUUAAACAGAAGGAACAACGAACAGCGUUAUUUUGAUUAUAAGUUAUUGCGAGUAAAUUUAUUGUUAAUAUACCGUUUUGUUGUGUGCAAUUUAAACUAAGUAAUUUUAGU
Long non-coding RNA from Rhagoletis zephyria (snowberry fruit fly), 444 nucleotides. RefSeq lists it as uncharacterized. The record is from RefSeq and is a predicted model, not a curated record. Lineage: Eukaryota; Metazoa; Arthropoda; Insecta; Diptera; Tephritidae.